This is a non-coding RNA of Cucumis melo (muskmelon), 162 nucleotides long. The record is from RefSeq and is marked provisional. NCBI's taxonomy places the organism in Eukaryota, Viridiplantae, Streptophyta, Magnoliopsida, Cucurbitales, Cucurbitaceae.
AUUUCUGGGCAAUUACUCCAUUGGCAGUUGCCACCUUCCUUUUAAAACACACACACACUGACACAUACAUAUAUAUAUUAUAUAUUAUGUGAAAUCAUAUUGCCAAAUUUAAGGCAAUAACAAAAUCGCUACUGCCAAAGGAGAUUUGCCCGGUAAUGCUCC